Molecule: long non-coding RNA, 521 nt
Organism: Clarias gariepinus (North African catfish)
Lineage: Eukaryota; Metazoa; Chordata; Actinopteri; Siluriformes; Clariidae
Exons: 4
Source: RefSeq, a predicted model, not a curated record
CCCAGGCUGAGUCAGUUGUCGACUUUAACAGGCCCACUCUGCUCUGAUUCCUCACAUGGAGUCCACGCGCACGGCUCUUCCCCUUGAACUAUCCGCUCCCACUGGCCCAGGACCCUUGCCAUUUUACAAAGCAGUGUGAUAACUGUUGUCUAAAUGGGUUGAGAGCUGAUAGCAGAUUCUCCUUUAUAACUACUGUAGCUGCAGAAGGACCUGUAUGCGUGUGGAUGGGUUGUGCAGGUGAUUCAGGUGGUGUCCAGGUAACUUACCUGCAGGCUCUAAGAAGAGGAGCAGAUGGAGGGAACAUCUCAGACAGCGUGGUGUAACAGGGAAUGGCCACUGCGUUGUAGAAACCCACCUAAGAGCACAGACAUAUCACACAGCAGCAAGAGCGUAAGACAAUAAAAGUGGGAAGGUACCUGUCCCUGUGGAACCUCAUCCCUCUUAUCCCUGUCCAUCAUCGGAAUGGGCUGCAUUCCUAUCUUCUUCAUUUCAUCCCCCUGAUGAGAAGAGACGAUAAACAU